UUAAAUAUUUUAACUGAUUUGAGAAGAAAAGGUUCUUAUCACCUGCAAAUCAUGUACAAAUACUAUUUAUGUCUUCAUUUAUGACA
Molecule: long non-coding RNA, 86 nt
Organism: Sarcophilus harrisii (Tasmanian devil)
Lineage: Eukaryota; Metazoa; Chordata; Mammalia; Dasyuromorphia; Dasyuridae
Exons: 2
Source: RefSeq, a predicted model, not a curated record